Molecule: unclassified non-coding RNA, 387 nt
Filed under: soil metagenome
Description: partial contains 5.8S ribosomal RNA, internal transcribed spacer 2, and large subunit ribosomal RNA
Rfam family: 5.8S ribosomal RNA (bases 1-120)
Source: RNAcentral
GAUGAAGAACGCAGCGAAAUGCGAUAUGUAAUGUGAAUUGCAGAAUUCAGUGAAUCAUCGAAUCUUUGAACGCACCUUGCACCCUUUGGCAUUCCGAAGGGUAUGCUCGUUUGAGUGUCAUUGUACUCUCACACUCUCCGAUCCUAUGGAUUCGGGGAGCGGUGGACUUGGGUGUUGCUGCCUUUCCUUGUGGCUCACCUCAAAUGUGUCAGUGCACCUCUUGGUUGGACAUAGUACGGCGUGAUAAGUGUCUUCGCCGGCACCUCGCAAGAGGGUGGCCGAUCGGGAGCUCUGUGCUUUCAAACCGUCUUCGGACAAUUUCUGACAACUUGACCUCAAAUCGAGUAGGACUACCCGCUGAACUUAAGCAUAUCAAUAAGCGGAGGA